Molecule: ribosomal RNA, 403 nt
Filed under: Fusobacteriota bacterium
Lineage: Bacteria; Fusobacteriati; Fusobacteriota
Description: Fusobacteria bacterium partial 16S ribosomal RNA
Rfam family: Bacterial small subunit ribosomal RNA
Source: RNAcentral
UGGGGAAUAUUGCACAAUGGAGGGAACUCUGAUGCAGCGACGCCGCGUGAACGAAGAAGGCUUUCGAGUCGUAAAGUUCUUUUAUAUGGGAAGAUAAUGACGGUACCAUAAGAAAAAGCCCCGGCUAACUACGUGCCAGCAGCCGCGGUAAUACGUAGGGGGCUAGCGUUGUCCGGAAUCACUGGGCGUAAAGGGUUCGCAGGCGGAAAUGCAAGUCAGGUGUAAAAGGCAGUAGCUUAACUACUGUAAGCAUUUGAAACUGCAUAUCUUGUUAAGAGUAGAGGUAAGUGGUCUUUUUAGUGUAUCGGUGCCCUGCGUAGAUAUUAAACAUCCUCCCGGUGUCGCAGUCGACUUCCUAUGCUCAUUCUGACGCUCAGCAACGAACGCCUGGGUACCUAACAGU